AGAGUUUGAUCCUGGCUCAGAGUGAACGCUGGCGGCGUGCCUAAUACAUGCAAGUCGAACGAUGAAGCUUCUAGCUUGCUAGAGUGCUGAUUAGUGGCGCACGGGUGAGUAACGCAUAGGUUAUGUGCCUCUUAGUUUGGGAUAGCCAUUGGAAACGAUGAUUAAUACCAGAUACUCCCUACGGGGGAAAGAUUUAUCGCUAAGAGAUCAGCCUAUGUCCUAUCAGCUUGUUGGUAAGGUAAUGGCUUACCAAGGCUAUGACGGGUAUCCGGCCUGAGAGGGUGAACGGACACACUGGAACUGAGACACGGUCCAGACUCCUACGGGAGGCAGCAGUAGGGAAUAUUGCUCAAUGGGGGAAACCCUGAAGCAGCAACGCCGCGUGGAGGAUGAAGGUUUUAGGAUUGUAAACUCCUUUUGUUAGAGAAGAUAAUGACGGUAUCUAACGAAUAAGCACCGGCUAACUCCGUGCCAGCAGCCGCGGUAAUACGGAGGGUGCAAGCGUUACUCGGAAUCACUGGGCGUAAAGAGCGCGUAGGCGGGAUAGUCAGUCAGGUGUGAAAUCCUAUGGCUUAACCAUAGAACUGCAUUUGAAACUACUAUUCUAGAGUGUGGGAGAGGUAGGUGGAAUUCUUGGUGUAGGGGUAAAAUCCGUAGAGAUCAAGAGGAAUACUCAUUGCGAAGGCGACCUGCUGGAACAUUACUGACGCUGAUUGCGCGAAAGCGUGGGGAGCAAACAGGAUUAGAUACCCUGGUAGUCCACGCCCUAAACGAUGGAUGCUAGUUGUUGGAGGGCUUAGUCUCUCCAGUAAUGCAGCUAACGCAUUAAGCAUCCCGCCUGGGGAGUACGGUCGCAAGAUUAAAACUCAAAGGAAUAGACGGGGACCCGCACAAGCGGUGGAGCAUGUGGUUUAAUUCGAAGAUACACGAAGAACCUUACCUAGGCUUGACAUUGAGAGAAUCCGCUAGAAAUAGUGGAGUGUCUGGCUUGCCAGACCUUGAAAACAGGUGCUGCACGGCUGUCGUCAGCUCGUGUCGUGAGAUGUUGGGUUAAGUCCCGCAACGAGCGCAACCCCCUUUCUUAGUUGCUAACAGGUUAUGCUGAGAACUCUAAGGAUACUGCCUCCGUAAGGAGGAGGAAGGUGGGGACGACGUCAAGUCAUCAUGGCCCUUACGCCUAGGGCUACACACGUGCUACAAUGGGGUGCACAAAGAGAAGCAAUACUGCGAAGUGGAGCCAAUCUUCAAAACACCUCUCAGUUCGGAUUGUAGGCUGCAACUCGCCUGCAUGAAGCUGGAAUCGCUAGUAAUCGCAAAUCAGCCAUGUUGCGGUGAAUACGUUCCCGGGUCUUGUACUCACCGCCCGUCACACCAUGGGAGUUGUGUUUGCCUUAAGUCAGGAUGCUAAAUUGGCUACUGCCCACGGCACACACAGCGACUGGGGUGAAGUCGUAACAAGGUAACCGUAGGUGAACCUGCGGUUG
RNAcentral lists this ribosomal RNA (1484 nucleotides) under Helicobacter pylori. RNAcentral describes it as "bacterial SSU rRNA". It matches the Rfam family "Bacterial small subunit ribosomal RNA". RNAcentral also lists the same sequence under 1 other name. Lineage: Bacteria; Pseudomonadati; Campylobacterota; Epsilonproteobacteria; Campylobacterales; Helicobacteraceae. The record is from RNAcentral.